GAUUCAUACGCUGUCAAAAUUAAAUCAAUAUGGCUACUGGGUGUAAAAGAUAAAUCUUAUUCUAUCUGUUCUUAAUGAGUUUUAGAUAAUUUUAGUUGUAUUUCUUUGUAAUUUUGUGUUGUACAAAGAUUAAUUUAACAUUUUCUCUGGAAGUAUUAAUUUAGAAAGAUAAUAUGCUUCAUUGGUGUUGUGUUUUGAAGUGUGAAAUGCAAAGUAAUUGUGAUAAAGUCAAGAUAAAGUUCACUUUUAAACUGAACUAAAUAAGGUAUCUGAGAGACAACAAUGGUUAAAUGCAAUACAAUGUACAGGUUUUACUAGCGAAAUGAAAAUUUUCCUGUCCUGUCUGCUGUAAUCAUUUUAUAUCUGGUAAGUUACAAUUACAACAGUAACGAUUUUUGAAGAUGUUAACAUUUUAAUCUUAUAGGAAAACCAGCCGACUUAAUCGAUAAUAACAAUCUCCAGAUUGGGUUCCUUCAAUACAUAUGGGCUAUUAACACAAUGAAAUAAGUUCCAGAAAAUCUAAAAUGGAGUGGUAUCAAAGGAGAAUUAAAGGAAAAAAUAUUCAUAUUGAAAUUAUUUAUAAGGCACUGGACUGUCUUAAAUUCUACAAUAAUACUAGAAUCAGCUGAGAGAAGUGGUCUACAAAAAACCAGGAAGGAAACGGAAUAUGUGGCUACGAAAGGCAAAAGAAAGGUUUACAAAGCAAAUGUGACACAUUUUUUUUAAAUAUUUAGGAAUAUCAGUAAAUUGCAUUAAAAAAAUGUAUGAAAAGAUUUUGUUCAAUAAAAAUGUUUAUAUUUA
Molecule: long non-coding RNA, 801 nt
Organism: Diabrotica virgifera virgifera (western corn rootworm)
Lineage: Eukaryota; Metazoa; Arthropoda; Insecta; Coleoptera; Chrysomelidae
Exons: 2
Source: RefSeq, a predicted model, not a curated record